This 420-nucleotide ribosomal RNA is filed under the name uncultured bacterium. Its description in RNAcentral is "bacterial SSU rRNA". It matches the Rfam family "Bacterial small subunit ribosomal RNA", at positions 356 to 773 of the family's 1533-position model. The record is from RNAcentral.
GAGGAAUAUUGGUCAAUGGGCGAGAGCCUGAACCAGCCAAGUAGCGUGCGGGAGGAAGGCCCUAUGGGUUGUAAACCGCUUUUGCAGGGGGGUAAAAAGAGGUACGUGUACUUCAUUGCAAGUACCCUGCGAAUAAGGACCGGCUAAUUCCGUGCCAGCAGCCGCGGUAAUACGGAAGGUCCAGGUGUUAUCCGGAUUUAUUGGGUUUAAAGGGAGCGUAGGCGGGAGUUAAAGUCAGUUGUGAAAAGCCUGGGCCCAACUCAGGUCGUGCAAUUGAUACUAAAUUUCUUGAGUGCGCACGAGGAAGGUGGAAUUUGUGGUGUAGCGGUGAAAUGCAUAGAUAUCACGAAGAACUCCGAUUGCGAAGGCAGCCUUCCGGAGCGUUACUGACGCUGAGGCUCGAAGGUGCGGGUAUCAAAC